This 624-nucleotide ribosomal RNA is filed under the name Levilactobacillus brevis. RNAcentral describes it as "bacterial SSU rRNA". It matches the Rfam family "Bacterial small subunit ribosomal RNA", at positions 884 to 1509 of the family's 1533-position model. Lineage: Bacteria; Bacillati; Bacillota; Bacilli; Lactobacillales; Lactobacillaceae. The record is from RNAcentral.
GACCGCAAGGUUGAAACUCAAAGGAAUUGACGGGGGCCCGCACAAGCGGUGGAGCAUGUGGUUUAAUUCGAAGCUACGCGAAGAACCUUACCAGGUCUUGACAUCUUCUGCCAAUCUUAGAGAUAAGACGUUCCCUUCGGGGACAGAAUGACAGGUGGUGCAUGGUUGUCGUCAGCUCGUGUCGUGAGAUGUUGGGUUAAGUCCCGCAACGAGCGCAACCCUUAUUAUCAGUUGCCAGCAUUCAGUUGGGCACUCUGGUGAGACUGCCGGUGACAAACCGGAGGAAGGUGGGGAUGACGUCAAAUCAUCAUGCCCCUUAUGACCUGGGCUACACACGUGCUACAAUGGACGGUACAACGAGUUGCGAAGUCGUGAGGCUAAGCUAAUCUCUUAAAGCCGUUCUCAGUUCGGAUUGUAGGCUGCAACUCGCCUACAUGAAGUUGGAAUCGCUAGUAAUCGCGGAUCAGCAUGCCGCGGUGAAUACGUUCCCGGGCCUUGUACACACCGCCCGUCACACCAUGAGAGUUUGUAACACCCAAAGCCGGUGAGAUAACCUUCGGGAGUCAGCCGUCUAAGGUGGGACAGAUGAUUAGGGUGAAGUCGUAACAAGGUAGCCGUAGGAGA